UUUCUCAUUAAAAUACAGAGAAUAGUGAUUUGUCUCAAUUGUCACGUUUCCAAAUUUAUCAAAGGGCUGCGCAUUUGCGUUCGUCCAUUUCUUUUCUGUGGAAAAUUAGGAAAGAAAGAAUGGGAAAGAGGGUAGGGAGAGGUGGAAGAAGGGACGAUUUGCCGUCGCCGUCGAUCUUGAGUCGAUCUGUAGACUCCGUAUUCGAUUUCGUCCGUUUUGCUGAGUUCGAGAUCCUCUUCGUCCUCUUCUUCGUUGUAGCUUUUGUCAUUUUCAAGGAUCUGGUUAGCCUUCUUUCCCUUUAUUACCACUUCUUUUUUGUGCUUUUUAUUUGCUACUGAUAAGUCUCUUUUUGAAGCCGGGAGGGGUAAUUUUGAUUGUUGUGACUCACUGACUUGUGAUUUGUGGUAAGUGUUUAACCCAAAAAUAGUUUCAGGAAUAAGCAAUUAAAUUUAUUUUUAAGAGGUCACUAGCAACAGGUUCGAAUCAAAGUCUGAUAGAAUGAAGCAAGAGAUUAAACUAAAAAACGCUGUGUAUGAAGUAACGAAAGUAAGCAAGAAUAAGUAAGAAUGAUCUUAUUGAUUUCAGCCGUAAGCCACAGUGCUUGCAAAGUGAAAAGGGAUUGCCAGAUGAUAGUACAAUAAUCUUUUUUUAAGAGUGAGUACAGUGAAUUCUCAUGGAUGUUACUAGCAAAUAGAAUAGGGGUAUUUAUAGCCUAAACCUAACGCUAACAUGAUCAUCCCCACUUCCACACGCCGCUCCAAGUGGUUAGCAGAUUCCGAGAUCCUCGCCGGUUGUGGGUAAUGAAUUCGGCAUAAUGGGCGCAGAUGAAUCCCUGAUAUUUCGGGACCCGUUGAGGACCAAUUCAAGCCCCGGGCCACAACCUUAUUGAUAGAUCCCCGGAGCCGUCUUAGAAGCGAUCCUCCAUGACCCGAUGCUUGCCUCCCUGUGAGUGAGUCACCGAACCACGCAUAUUUUCUAUGCAGGUCGAACUUUGUGGCCAUCUCAUUCCUGGAAUAAGAUGUUGUGUCAUCACGCGAUCUGUCCACGUGUCAGUGUCGAUUUUUACCAAUACCAUAUGGAUCUGCCAAGGUAAGAUUACAAAUGACCCAAAAGUAUAUCAGAGGGUAAAAUCAAGAUAUUUCCAUAGUAGAGCUGUAAAUUUGGAAUUUUUUCCCUCUACAUUGAUAGCAAAAUAGCGUAAUGAAUGGUUUCAGAUCCCAGCUGUAACUCAGUGUGAGCACUCGGCUCCAACUUUGAUGCUUAGAUUUACCCGCCACCUAUGAUGCAGGCACUGCCUGGUCGAUUACUCAUGUGCCUAAGCUGGCACAGAUGUAAUUGUCAUUCAUAAAUUAAAAAAAGGGCGUAAAAUAGUAGGAUGGAAAACCCAAGCUAUAUGCCAGUGCUUCCUCUUGUUAAAAAUACCAUGCCAAUUUGCAAUUUUUCUUCUUUGAAGCGCCAACAAUUUUAGCAAUCAAAGCAUCAGUUGGUUGUUGUUGUGGUGGUUG
Molecule: long non-coding RNA, 1505 nt
Filed under: Nicotiana tabacum (common tobacco)
Lineage: Eukaryota; Viridiplantae; Streptophyta; Magnoliopsida; Solanales; Solanaceae
Description: long non-coding RNA (NTAB_LNC000262)
Source: RNAcentral